RNAcentral lists this transfer RNA (76 nucleotides) under Candidatus Poribacteria bacterium. RNAcentral's name for it is "tRNA-Gly". It matches the Rfam family "tRNA". From Rfam's summary of the family: Transfer RNA (tRNA) molecules are approximately 80 nucleotides in length. Lineage: Bacteria; Candidatus Poribacteria. The record is from RNAcentral.
GCGGGAAUAGCUCAGAUGGUAGAGCGUCAGCCUUCCAAGCUGAGGGUCGCGGGUUCAAAUCCCGUUUCCCGCUCCA